This is a long non-coding RNA of Lynx canadensis (Canada lynx), 1556 nucleotides long. RefSeq lists it as uncharacterized. The transcript is spliced from 3 exons. Lineage: Eukaryota; Metazoa; Chordata; Mammalia; Carnivora; Felidae. The record is from RefSeq and is a predicted model, not a curated record.
CCUCUGUGAAGAAUUCAGCAAUUAUAGAUUCAAUAGAAAACCUCAAGUAAGGAGGAAGAGAAAAAGUUGAAAUGGAACAGAGUAUGUGUGUGUGUGGAAACCCAUGUGGUAUGUCUCCCUUCUCGGUUCCAGGCAAAGCAUGGAACCGUUAGUCACAUUUGAACACAUAUCCCUGAAAACAGGACUAAAAGGAGAGAUGGAUACUUGGAGUAUCCGAGACCAGGCCUUUAGAAAUAUGAGGGAGAAAUCCAUAGCUAGCUAAACAAUGGUAAAUUAUUGUAGGAUACAAGUGAAAUGGCUAUUAAUUUCCAUUGUACUUCAUGAUGGAAAAAAAUUCAAGUCUCUCUCUCUCUUUUAAGGAAAGAAGGAAAGACACCUAACCCACUGUUUCUCAAAGUGUGUUCUGGGAAAUAUCAAUUCUGCCAGAUGCUGACUAGAAACAAGUUUGUUGGCCAAAUAAGUUUGGGAAACACUGUUACAUAAGGACAGUCACAUUUCUGCACCCCUGGAAUUCUCAAGAGUUUAAUAAACAAAUAGACUCUGUGACUCCCCUUGUGGAGAAUAUAGCUCACAUGCACUCGACUGUUUCUGUGAGGUCAGUGUUAGGGCUAGUGAAACCACUUUGAGUUGGCUCACUGGAGAGCCACUUAUUAGAUGAGACUUAUCCCAGGAAAUUAUAGGAUCAAGAAAACUAACAGAACGAUGUGUUCCCACUGAAACCGUUGGUACUUUCAACACUGACAGUAUUCUUCACGGCGAAGUCUCGAAGUUAUUUACAUCUGAAGAAAAUCAUUUCCAACAAGUUAUCUAGAACGAAUGUUCCUGAAACAUGAGGUACUGCUUCGGUGCUCAUAACCGCGCUCUAGAGAGUCAAGCUUGAAACUACAACUGUACAACCGGCUUGAAGAACUUACUGUGCCCUCCUUAGGAGAUUUCAGGAACACAGAUGAUGGGUUGAAAUGUAAUAUAAAAACAAGAUAGAGUAUAACAAAGGAUGAUCCAGACCCCCUUUCAGGAUCCUAAGCCCGGUGCUGUGUAUGAAAUAAGACAGGAGUUACAAGAAGCCCAUACUUUCAAAGGAUACCUUUAGAGGUGACAGCACAGAAAGAGAUGGAGAUAAUGUAGCCAGUGCAAGAGGUGGAGCUUUCCAGAGGAGAAGCUGGGAACCUUCCUGGGGACCCCGCAGCCAGGGGCUAAGAGGGCUAAAGGGGCUCCGUUAGGAGCUGAAAGUGGCUCCUGGCCAAUAACUAGCAGGAAAACGAGGACCUCUGUCCUACAACCACAAGGAAAUGGCUUUUGCCAACAGCCAGCAAGGACCCCACGUUCCAGAUGAGAAUCACAGAUGGAGCUGACCCCUUGUUUCCGACUGGUAAGACUGAGCAGAGAAGGCAGUCACUCCAUGCCAAGAUGCUGACCUACGGUUUCUGAAAACUCAUCCACGUGUUUUUCUCAGAUAAAACGUAUUCCUCGAAGUGCAAGCACUUGAUGAAUAUAUGUUAUUUAUCUGCCUUAUUAAACAGUAUUUAGUAGACUGCCUAAUAUUUAAAGAAUCGAAU